GAUACCGGGAAAAACGGACGAUAAUUAGAGAACUUCGAUGCCGGUUUUGAGCAAGUUUUUAAUUAAAAUUCAGUAUAAGCGCAGCUUUGCCCCACGAAAAUAUUUCAACAUAAGAUGCAUUUAGUUGAUAAUAUUGCUCUGACAAAAUAUUUCGUUGGGGCAAGAAUGCGCAGGUACUUUUUUCGUAAAAAAACUUGGCGAAAAUGAGUAAAAAAUUGCGAAAAGCCAACAAAUAUGCACGUGAAGCAGUGGCGGAUCCAGAGGGGGGGUUCCGGGGGUCCGCACCCCCCCUUUAUUUUGGCCGAUCAAUGCAUUUGAAUCGGGACAUAUGUUUUGCACCCCCCCUGCACCCCCCCCCCCUUUGCCCUGGGCUAGCACCCCCCCUUUCGAAAAUUCCUGCAUCCGCCACUGACGUGAAGUGUUGUCAGAACACGACAUUGUGACGUCAUAACUACAAAAAAACAUUUUUUUCAUAAAAUGAAUAUGUCCAACGGAAAAAGAAAG
This 504-nucleotide long non-coding RNA is filed under the name Mytilus galloprovincialis (Mediterranean mussel). Lineage: Eukaryota; Metazoa; Mollusca; Bivalvia; Mytilida; Mytilidae. The record is from RNAcentral.